This 253-nucleotide ribosomal RNA is filed under the name uncultured bacterium. RNAcentral's name for it is "partial 16S ribosomal RNA". It matches the Rfam family "Bacterial small subunit ribosomal RNA", at positions 524 to 776 of the family's 1533-position model. The record is from RNAcentral.
UACGUAGGGGGCAAGCGUUGUCCGGAAUCAUUGGGCGUAAAGAGCGUGUAGGCGGCCCGGUCAGUCGGUUGUGAAAGUCAAGGGCUCAACCCUUGAAUGCCGGCCGAUACUGCCGGGCUAGAGUCCGGAAGAGGUGAGUGGAAUUCCUGGUGUAGCGGUGAAAUGCGCAGAUAUCAGGAGGAACACCGAUGGCGAAGGCAGCUCACUGGGACGGUACUGACGCUGAGACGCGAAAGCGUGGGGAGCAAACAGG